UUCUCCAUCUGCAGUUGUGGCAGUGUCUUAACUUUCCCGGGUCCCUUAGCACCAUCCAGACAUGGGCCUAAGAAGAUCUCCUCAUGGAUUUUGGAGGAUGUCAUUAGUACAACGUUCCCCCAAUGAGAAUGGGGGAGUUCGGCAUCCUGCCCUCUUCCCCUCCUCCAUCGGUGCUCUGCUUCAAGUCACUCCACAGUUGACUCACAGGACCAACCUUCUCUGGGGAUGAUCCGCAGGACUCAGGAACUUCUGAAGCCUGAAAAUGGUGCUGAGGAACAUUCAAGGUAUGCAGAUGCCAGUCACUUGGGCACAAGCUGCACAAAUUGUAAACAGCAAGGUAAGUGAAAACUUUACUAUCUUGGUUCUCAAAAAUUUCACCAAUAUAAAUGAUAGUGGAAGUCCACUUUCAGGACACGUUUCUUGUAAUAGAAAAUUCAGAAAAACUCCCAGCAAAAGGUGUUAAGAGAAUCUUAAACACUUUGAUCUAGAAUUAAACUGAAAUAGACAAAACUUUUAGAAAUUGGUUGUUUAUUCUCCGUAAAUUGGUGCUUAUUCUCCUUAUUUCCACCUUGCUUAUUAAUGUGUGACUGCAGAACAAUUCAAGACCACUCGGUGGUUGUUCCUACCCACUCAGUGGCCUGAGCAGUGGGAGCUGCAGACCAGUCUUCAGUGGCUGGCUGGGCACUCCAGUCUUCUGUUAAGAAAAAUACCAAAAAGCCAUUAGCUCUGUCCCGAAAAGUACUACUAUCCCCACUCUGCCCAACAACCCAUCUAUCAGAUACUCAUGGCCUUCUUUCACACAAUAUACCAAAGACAAAGACUAAGGCUAACAUUCCAAAAACACUUGAAUUCAACAGCAAGGUUAUUUGUAGAUAAGCACACUAAUUAAAAACCUCUUAAUGCUAACAUAAUUUCCUGAGAUUAAAAAUUUAAAAGUUCCCUGGAUACAUACCAGUAGGGAACUGCUGGAUAGGCACAGAGGGCACCUGCACACCUUCAGACCCGUCUGCAACCUCAGGUUGAGUAGCAGUGAACUUAGGAGCUGGAGCAGUCCAUUCACCCUGAAAUUCCUCCUUGGUCACAGCUUUUUCAGCAGCAGCCUGCUCUUCCUUUUCAAUCUGGUAAUAUACAUAUUGAAGUUUAGAAGAACCAACAUAUUUAGUUUCCAAGAAGCAUACACCAACGUAGCCCAAUGCUCACGUGACAACCUUUUGCGGAAGAAGCUUACCUCUUCAGGAUCUCUGUAGAAGUAUAGAUCAGGCAUAACCUCCCAUGGGUGCUCACGGGAAAUGGUGCCACGCAUGCGCAGAACUUCACGGGCCAGCAUCCACCACAUCAGACCCACAGAAUGAGCUCCCUGCAAGUAUGCUGGGUUAUUAGUUGACAUCUAUUCAACCCCAAAUAGCAAGCAAUUCCCUGUUCACCUUACCUGGCCCAUAUCAUUUAGGCCCCUUGGUACCAAAAGUUAUUAAGAAAACACAGGCUGCUUUCCAAAUAUCAUCUCUCUUUGCUGUUAUACAUUAACAGUUUACUUGUAGCAAGGAUUACUAUCAAACUCCACUCACUAGGUCAGAAUGGAGUGUUAGCGAAAAACUUGCCCCUCAUGUAGCACACUACCUACACUUGCGAGUUCAUCAGCCAGUUAAUGGCCUCAACUCCAAGCUCUAACAAUGUGCAUAGGAAUUUCCAAUUCUUUUCUACAGUAUUCAUUUACAAACUGUAAAGUUGUUACCUUGUUGUUGCAUGGAAUGGCAAUGUCCACAUAGCGCAGAGGAGAGUCUGUGUUACACAAAGCAAUGGUAGGCAGAUUGACAUAGGAUGCUUCUGUAAGAGGCUGGUGGUCAGCCCUGGGAUCAGUAACCACCAGAAGACGUGGCUCCCGGAAAGCUGCCUGGAUCUGGUUAGUGAAGGUUCCAGGAGUGAAGCGGCCAGCAAUAGGGGUGGCUCCAGUGGCAGCAGCAAACUUAAGCACAGCCCGCUGUUAGAAUUAAAGGAAGAAUUAGCAAUAAGUACUCCAGGGAUGGUUUCAUAAUACCACACAUCAUCCGUCAAUUCUGUAGUCACAUAAACCAGCCCAUUUAGUUGGGAGCUUCAAAACAUCCUUUUCUUAAAAAUGAAAGAAAGCAUCACCCUUUCGUAAAAGCAUCUAACAAUUCUGGGUUAAGUAAAAAGUCUUUUCAGGUCCUUCCUUACAUGUCCUACCUGAAAUGCUCUUCCCACUCAACCUCACUUCCUCCACUACUUCUGGACUAUACUGCCUGGUUUCAAAUACCAAGUAAAUCACUUUGUCAGUGACUUGGAUAAGGUAUUCACAUGCCUUUAAGUUACUCGCUUAAAGGAACUAGCUAUGAGAAAUGCAUACACCUAACAGAACAGUUUGGAACCUAAUAAACAUUUCUGAGGUCUGGUCAAAUUUAGUCAGUUACCCAAUGUAAAGAAAAGUACAUUACCACCUUUCUUUACCCUCUUUCUUAUUCUCCUCCAGAGACUAUUACCUGCAUGAAAUGGCAACGUCUACAUAGCACAGGAGAGUCUAUGUUACACAAAGCAAUGGUAGACAGAUGACAUGUUUCUGUAAGAGGCUAGUGGUCAGCCCAGGGAUCAGUAACCAGUCCCAGAUUUAUUUUUCUGCCAUAUCCCACAGAUCUAGCAUGUCAGGACCAGGCUAGAUAUGCUUGGUAAAUUUUUGCUGAAACAAGCAAGAGCAGUCCCUUAGUUCGUUCUAUAGGAAUAACUCAAAUCUGUAAAUAUUUGGAGUGUAUAAAAUCCUUAAAGAACUUCCAGAAAUAAUUGUCUAUUUUGUUUCCAUAAAAACUAAGCACAUUGCACAUACCUGGCCAGUAUUCCUAGAGGAUAUGACACUGACGUCAGCAGGGUUUUCAAUGGCAACAAUGGCACGAGCUGCCAGCAGAAGCUUCUC
Non-coding RNA from Ictidomys tridecemlineatus (thirteen-lined ground squirrel), 2920 nucleotides. Lineage: Eukaryota; Metazoa; Chordata; Mammalia; Rodentia; Sciuridae. The record is from RefSeq and is a predicted model, not a curated record.